RNAcentral lists this ribosomal RNA (429 nucleotides) under Bacillota bacterium. RNAcentral's name for it is "Firmicutes bacterium partial 16S ribosomal RNA". It matches the Rfam family "Bacterial small subunit ribosomal RNA", at positions 355 to 776 of the family's 1533-position model. The record is from RNAcentral. Lineage: Bacteria; Bacillati; Bacillota.
UAGGGAAUCUUCGGCAAUGGACGGAAGUCUGACCGAGCAACGCCGCGUGAGUGAAGAAGGUUUUCGGAUCGUAAAGCUCUGUUGUUAGAGAAGAACGUUGGUAGGAGUGGAAAAUCUACCAAGUGACGGUAACUAACCAGAAAGGGACGGCUAACUACGUGCCAGCAGCCGCGGUAAUACGUAGGUCCCGAGCGUUGUCCGGAUUUAUUGGGCGUAAAGCGAGCGCAGGCGGUUCUUUAAGUCUGAAGUUAAAGGCAGUGGCUUAACCAUUGUACGCUUUGGAAACUGGAGAACUGGAGGGCGGAGGGGGAGGGGGGAAUUCCAUGUGUAGCGGUGAAAUGCGUAGAUAUAUGGAGGAACGACGGGGGCGAAAGCGGCUCUCUGGUCUGUAACUGACGCUGAGGAUCGAAAGCGUGGGGAGCAAACAGG